This is a long non-coding RNA of Anolis carolinensis (green anole), 11412 nucleotides long. RefSeq lists it as uncharacterized. The record is from RefSeq and is a predicted model, not a curated record. The transcript is spliced from 2 exons. NCBI's taxonomy places the organism in Eukaryota, Metazoa, Chordata, Lepidosauria, Squamata, Anolidae.
GGCAAAUUGUGUCCACCAGCCAUGAAAUGCAUACAAUAACAAUAUCUAUUGCUUGGAAACAUUGCUGUGCUGGUUGAGAGUUGCAAUCAAAGUAGCUUGUUGAAUCUCUGAUGAUAUUGUUGUAGAGAUGCCCUAUCUCUUACAUUAUGGGAUCAUCAUCAUCUUUUGUUAAAGUUGUGGUAUAAAUAAAUAAAGGGGUAGAUUUCUGUUUCCCUUACUAUGGGGUCCAUCUGUAUCAUUUGAAUCGAAGGCAUGCUGAGCCCCUGCUCCUGAUUCGGGCCUCUCUAUUCUCCAAUGAUAUAAAUAUAAAAUGAUAGUAAUUCUCAAUGGUACUCUUGAUAUUGAUCUCCCUGGGAAUACUCUAGAUGUUCUUACUGUACGUAUUACUGGGAGAGCAGAUUGACACUUAACUAUACUACAGGAAGGCCUGUCCAUUCUACCUCCACUGCUUACUUAUGCCCUGAGGCUACGAACAGACAGAAUGUGCCUGAGACAACAGCAGAAACCAGAAAAACGUUUCCCUUGCCACUUCUUUUUGGUAUGCAGGAGCUUCAUUUCCCAGCUGCAAAGGGAAUAAUGUAUCCGAACAUGCUGAUGACAGUCCUUUAUGAAAACAAGAAGUUGCUCAAUUGGUAUAGCAGAAUUCUGUGUAUCAUAUAUUUUAUGUGUGAAUAUACACUGCCUAACAUGAUGCCAUUCAAUGUUUCUGUUAUUAUACUGAGGUUAAAUAUGUAUUGUAUAUAUAUUUCUGACAUAUGUCUACAUUUUACAUUCAUCCUCCUUUCUUAACACCAGUUAGGUGCAAUUCAUGCAAAGAUGAUAUUUAGAUGUAGUUAAUUGUCAUUUAGGUGCGACCAGUACAAGACACAAAGUGCAGUGAAAGUUAAUCAUAUUUUAGUUCCUUUGAAAGAUGUUAGUGAAAAUUAUUUUCAUUGAUUUCCCUCUAAAAUUUUCUUCACUACACCCAGCAUCUAGUAUAGUGAGAGCAAAUUGUGUCCACCAGCCAUUUCUGUGCGCUUCAAGCUAUCCAGACUUUGGGUUGCUGUGAGUUUUCCAGGCUGUAUGGCCAUGAUCCAGAAGCAUUCUCUCCUGAUGUUUCACCCACAUAUAUGGCAGGCAUCCUCAGAGGUCUGUUGGAAACUAGGCAAGUGAGGUUUAUAUACAGUAGAGUCUCGCUUAUCCAACGUAAACGGGCCAGCAGAAUGUUGGAUAAGCGAAUAUGUUGGAUAAUAAGGAGAGAUUAAGGAAAAGCCUAUUAAACAUUAAAUUAGGUUAGGAUUUUACAAAUUAAGCACCCAAACAUCAUGUUAUACAAUAAAUUUGACAGAAAAAGUAGUUUAAUACACAGUAAUGCUAUGUAGUAAUUACUGUAUUUACGAAUUUAGCACCAAAAUAUCAUGAUAUAUUGAAAACAUUGACUACAAAAAUGGCUUGGAUAAUCCAGAACGUUGGAUAAGCGAGUGCUGGAUAAGUGAGAUUCUACUGUAUAUGUAAACUGAGGUUUAUUUAUUGACAGCUGUCCCUUCUCUGAUAAAAGCUGGAUGAAUAGGGUGGUAGUGCCACUUUUGAAAGCUACUGGGAACAGCAAUUUGCUUUUUGGAAUGGUUGCAGAACUCCCCUUGUAUGGUUUAACAUUAAAACACGCACACAUGCACAAGUUUUUCAAAACCAGAAGUAGACUUCUGGCUACUUCCAAUUUUGUUUAGUUCUGUGUAUUCCUUGAUCCUUUUUAGAAGUCCAUGCAGACCCUAGAAGGGCAAAGACACAAAAUGAGUCCAAGGCACACUACAAUUGCCCAGCCCUGAUGUAAUAAAAGGAAAUCUAUUGAGAUACAGUAGAGUCUCACUUAUCCAACACUCGCUUAUCCAACGUUCUGGAUUAUCCAACGCAUUUUUGUAGUCAAUGUUUUCAAUAUAACGUGAUAUUUUGGUGCUAAUUUUGUAAAUACAGUAAUUACAACAUAACAUUACUGCGUAUUGAACUACUUUUUCUGUCAAAUUUGUUGUACAACGUGAUGUUUUGGUGCUUGAUUUGUAAAAUCAUAACCUAAUUUGAUGUUUAAUAGGCUUUUUCUUAAUCUCUCCUUAUUAUCCAACAUGUUCGCUUAUCCAACGUUCUGCUGGCCCGUUUAUGUUGGAUAAGUGAGACUCUACUGUACUACAGGUUGAACAUCCCUUCUCUGAAAUGUAUGAAACCAGAUUUUUUUCUGGAUUCUGAGUUUCUUUGGAUUUUGAAAUUCCUCUAUUUUCUAUUAUUUACAUAUCUUGGAAAUGGGAUCCAAGUCUAAACACGUAAUUUGUUUAUGUUUCAAGGGUCUGGAGAACAAGCCGUAUAAGGAGUGGUUUAAAGAGCUGGGCAUGUUUAGCCUGCAGAAGAGAAGGCUGAGUGGAGACCUGAUUAGGGCCAUGUAUAAAUAAGUGAGGGGAAGUCAUAGGGAGGAGGGAGCAAGUUUGUUUUCUGCUGCCCUGGAAAACAGGAUGUGGAACAAUGGCUUCAAACUACAGGAAAGGAGAUUCCACCUGAACAUUAUGAAAAACUUCCUCACUGUGAGUGUUGUUCGACAGUGGGACUCUCUGCCCCGGAGUGUGGCGUAGGCUCCUUCUUUGGAAGCUUUUAAGCAGAGGCUGGAUGGCCAUCUGUUAGGGGUGCUUUGAAUGCGAUUUCCUUCUUCUUGGCAGGGGGUUGGACUGGAUGGCCUACGAAGUCUCUUCCAACUCUAUGGUUCUAUGAUUCUAUGUCACUAUCUCAAUUACCCAUUUAGACAAUUUUGGAGUAUUUUAGAAUUCCUGAUAAGUGAUGCUGAACUUGUAACCUGAUUCAGAUAUUACACUAGACCCGCAUCUAGCAUUAUGUGCAUUAGCUUCCUUUUUUCUUCCUUCCUCACAGCAUGGAUGUAAGGAGUGUAUUGGAAGCAACCAUUUCUGUUUUAAAUUAGCCAGAAUGCUUUCCCAGCCGAGGCACACCUCAGCUCAUGUUUGUUGGCUUUCUGUCGAUAUAAGUAUUCUCUACUUCCUGAUGAAAGUGCCUCUUUUUAUUUUUAUCUGUAGGGAAAUUUUAUCCGGAUGUGAUACAGUGUUACUCCAGAUUUUUAAAAUGUGCUUUAUUAGAUCUAUAGAUUUGUACUUAAUUUUUUUUGGCUGUUAUUUUGUUGUAGUUGCACACUGCUUCAUACACCAUUUUUUUGGUAGGAAAUAUGGCACCCAAAUGUGUGUGUGUGCAUGUGUAAGAAUUAAAUAUACGGAAAUCUUGGCGCUGUCUUAUAAAACCUAGUGUCAGUGUGCAUGCAAACCAUCUAUCAGCAUAGUACAAAUAAAUCAAACUAAAGCAGCUCAAUGCUUGUAGACUGGCAUUAGGAUAAGUGUAUCUUAAGAAAGUUCUUAUUCAGACUUGGCUCCAGGCAAUGAAACGUCAUAGAUGUAGAACUCUAGUGAGUGAAAUUUCUAGGGAGCAAAUUAGGCUAAAAACAUCUUCUAGAGACAGCUAGAAAGGAAUCAUAUACCACUUGAAAAUAAGGCAUGCUAUGCAGUAAAUGUUUCAUUUAUUGGGCUUCUUCCAAUGCUGUUAGGUUUAAAAGACAAGCUGUCAAUAAGAGCGGUAAAUGUAUCGAUGGUUUGAUUUUUCAGAGCCUUAUCACAUACAUGUAUAAGAAUUUGUAUCAUCUCAUGAUUUAAUCAGACUACUCUCUGAUCACUGUCCAUUUUUUCUGUUAAUGUUUUUGCCGUCUUGUAAAAAUGGUCACCAAAACCUAGGGAAAUAAGAGUACAAAGGAUUUAACUAUUUCUAUGCAGGCAGCGAAAGAGAUCUUCGUUUUUGAGAAUUUAAACAUCAAUACUGACCAAAUCUUUUUUAAAUUGUAGUGUUCGUUCAACAACGUUCCUAAAGAAACAUAACUCAUAAAUGCAAAUGUAAACAGAAAAUGUUUUUAAACAUACUUUGUGGGUUGAGGGAGUAUCGAUCCAUUUGCCCUAAUAGAAUAACUUGGGAGGGAAAGUGUCCUUUGUGUCCAUUUUGAAUGUGUACACAGAUCACAAGUACUUUCACUAUAGUAAAGGUAAAGGUUUUUCCCUAACAUUCUAGUCGUGUCUGGCUCUAGGGGUUGGUGCUCAUCUCCAUCUCUAAGCCAAAGAGCCGGCAUUGUCCAUAGACACCUCCAAGGUCAUGUGGCUGGCAUGGCUGCAUGGAACGUCGUUACCUUCAAGUCGGAGCAGUACCUAUUGAUCUAUUCACAUUUGCAUGUUUUCCAACUGCUAGGUUGGCAUAAGCUGGAGCUGACAGCGGGAGCUCACUCCUCUCCCCAGGUUCGAACCACCGACCUUUUGGUCAGCAAGUUCAACAGCUCAGCGGUUUAAUCCACUGCGCCAUCAGGGGCUCCUUUCCUAACCUCUCAAUUAAAAUGGCUGAAAUUGACUCAUAAUAUAUUGAAUCUGGAAAUUCCCAGAUUUUUUUUUAAAUGAGAAUGUACUAAGAAGAAUUCUACACCUCAAAAUCCUUCAACUGUCAGAAAAGUAACAAGGUUUUUGCCCUGUUCCUAUCUCAUGUUGAAGUCUCCAUCCACGCCGCUGCCAAUUUUCUAGAAAAUUCACCAAUCUUCCAGAGAAGCUUUUGAAGGGUACACAAAAGAACAGCAGCAAACUCAGGUAGAAAGAGCACUGGAAGGGACAUUCAGGAAUAAAUGACCAGUCAAGAAUAAACAAACUGCAAGGACACAACAUUUUCUUUGCACCAACCUCUCCACAUGCAUCAUCAGUAAAGGCUGAGUGUUGAACUUUCUCAACAGGUUGCAUCCACUUGCUUCUGGAAACCCCAAUUACAUACUUAUCUGAAUUGUCAAGCCCAAUGCUUUGAUUUUGCUCAUGCAAGCUAUCCAGCAUCUAGUUCUCUCAAGCUGUUGGACAAUUGUAGUGAAGUCAUUCCAACUUCAUUCAGUCAUUUGUGCUUCCCGUGCUAGUUGUAACACUAGUGCUUGCCCAACCACUGACAGAUCAGCAUCACCUCUUAUACCUUUCCUGACAGCUUACAGAUUGAUAAAGCCCUGAGUGCUAACUGGGGGGAGCAGAAGCUCAUUCAUUCCUGCUUCAGGAUGUUCUUGUCCCUACCAUGAUUGGUAUACCACAACUCUGUAUAUUAUUUUAAUGGGGGCAUGGGAAGCAAACAAAUAAGCCAAGCCUUUCUAGUCAGGAAAAUAGUGGGUCUUUUUCACCAUUCUCUAAUGAUAGUACAGUGUUCACCAUGGAGAUGUCAGAAGUUCCUUAGUCCUUGGCAAUGUGCCCUCACAAAUUUAGCCCAAGGACCUCCUCAUCACACUAGAUCUUGGAUCCUCUUUAAAUCCACUUUAAAUCCACUUUAGGGAGGGGGCUUUAAACAGCUCAGCCAGACAGGUCCUGGGCCUCACCAAACUACAAACCCCAGAAUUCUGCAGGAGGCAGAAAACAUAUUUAAAGUAGAUUCGUGCUCUAGUGUGAUGAGGCAGCAAGACAAGCUUUGAAUGGAAAAAGUGAGAAACUAGUCUCAGAGGCAAGGCAUCAGACAGCCAGGUGUGUGUGUGUGUGUGUGUGUGUUUUCAAAAUGGGGAUAGAAAGAAACUCAGACACAAACUUAAGCUGAAAUUAAUUUAAAUUUAGAUAAAAUCAUUCUGGCAAUAAGCAACAUCCAGCACCAGAUGAACUGGUCCAAACUUGUUAGCUGUCAAUCUAUAAGAAGAGAUGCAUCAUUGAGUUGGAGAUUGUAGAAAUGCUUGGAGUCCCGCCCCCUCCCCCCUUUGCAAAUUUUACUGCCAUACCCAAGCAGACUUGUUUUUAUGUUUUUAUGUUGUAAAAGAUUGUAUAUUUCCAUAUUGAAUUAUAGUCAAAGCCCUUCUUCUGGACAGCUCUCAUUGGAACCCAAUAUUGACAAUAGCAUUUUGAACGAAUGAAGUAAUACAGGGGUGGAAAUAAUGUGACUCUUCAAUUAAAACUUGUGUGUCAGUUGCACCCGUACUUUUGGAAGUCAGGCUUGGCCAUGAUAGUCCACACUCUGGUUACAUCUCAAAUAGAUUACUGCAAUGUGCUGUAUAUGGGAUUGACUUUGAAGACUGUUCAGAAGCUUCAAAUGGUCCAACGGGCAACAGCCAGAUUGCUCACUGGAGUGGUGCACGGAGAGCAUAUGUCAGCUCCACUGGCUGCCAGUCUGCUACCAGGCACAAUUCAAAGUGCUUGCUUUAGCCUAUAAAGCCCUAAACCAGUGGUUCGCAACCUGGGGUCCCCAGACAUUUUUGGCCUACAACUCUCAGAAUUCCCAGCCAGUUUACCAGCUGUUAGGAUUUCUGGGAGUUGAAGGCCAAAAACAAAUGGGGGCCCCAGGUUGAGAACCACUCUCCUAAACGGUUCUGUCCCAGUUUACCUGUCCAAACAUAUCUCCCUCUACGAACCAUCACGGAGUUUAAGAUCAUCUGGGGAAUCCCGGCUCUUGGUCCCACCUUCUUCGCUGGCAUGCUUGGUAGAGACAAGAGACAGAGCCUUCUCAUUGUGGCCCCUUAGCUAUGGAACUGAGGAGAGCAGCCCUCUCCCUCUUGAAAAGAGUAAAAACAUGGCUCUGUGACCAAGCCAUUGGGGAAUCUGUACAAUAAAUAGAUAUGGAUUGAUGUCUAUUAACUAUAGGAAAAGCCUUGAUUUUAAAUGUUUCUUAUUGUUUUAAUUGUAUUUUAUUAUCCUAUUUUAAAUGUCUAUUUUAAUUUUGUAUUGUUCUUAUGUCAUCGAAUAGCUGCCGACGUGUAAAGCCGCCUUGAGUCUCCUUCGGGGUGGAGAAAGGCGGGAUAGAAGUACCGUAAGUAAAUAAUGGGCCCCUGGUGGUGGCGUAGUGUGUUAAAGCGCUGAGCUACUGAACUUGCAGAUCAAAAGGUCCCAGGUUCAAGUCCCGGGAGCGGAAUGAGCGCCCGCUGUUAGCCCCAGCUCCUGCCAACCUAGCAGUUCGAAAACAUGCCAAUGUGAGUAGAUCAAUAGGUACCGCGCCGGCGGGAAGAUAACGGCGCUCCACGCAGUCAUGCCGGCCACAUGACCUUGGAGGUGUCUACGGACAACGCCGGCUCUUCGGCUUAGAAAUGGAGAUGAGCACCAACCCCCAGAGUCGGUCACGACUGGACUUAGCGUCAGGGGAAAACCUUUACCCUUUACCUUUUUAAAUAAAUAAUAAAUAAAUAAAAUGUGUUAACAUUGAAAGUCUGAGCAGCCCUAGACAGAGUAUGCAAACUGUGACAAAUGCUUGGAGUUAUGCUCCAGCAAUAUCUGGAUGGCCGAAUGAUUCCCAUCCCUAUUGUAAAGAAGUCCUAUUGAUGCUUUGGAGCAACCAGCCUGAGAACCGAAGAAAAUGUUUCAUUACCUCUGUAAGCAUGUGGCUGUAAGGUCAUGUAUGUGAAAGUAAUUUCCAUGUCCCAUGUUAAAGGCCUUAUCUAGGUUUAUACGGAAGAUAUGGCAAGCUAUAGGAUCAGCUCAAGGCUCUUAAUCUUGCUGUGAGAGAUAGUUUUUGCACAUUUUACCAAGCAAUUCUAUAAAAAAGCAAAGGUCGUCCAUCAGGUAUGCUCGGAGAUCCAAAGCAAAUUUGACAGCAUUUUAAGCACACAUAAAGAAUUCUGGCAGCGAUCUCAGUUAUGCAGAGGUCAGUGGCAAAACUCCAAGUGAUUUCAAAGGAGUCCGGUUUUACCUGCUGUGUUACUUUUCACUGGACUCUGAGAGAACUUACCUUGGUAUCAUUAUAUAAAUAUUCAUGCUAAUGCAGCAAAACACAAUUAUAUGUAAAGAAACAUGUGUUUCAUGUGAAUACUACACUUAAAUCUUAGUUUUUCUGAGGACAACAUAUAUUGUACAAGGACCUUCUGGCAUCAGCGAUAAUACCCACCCAUUUUCUCUUAAUAAUCCUAUGAGGGAAAUGAUCUUAGGAUCCCUCAACCAGUCUUCUUUUAAUUAGGAUGCUACUUCUGCUUAUGAAACAUUUGUAUUUACAAUCUGGCUUCAACUCUGGUCUAAGACUGAGAUAAUCGAGAUCCAAAUCAACACUACACUGUAUGUGUUUGUCGUCAUUGCCUGUUAACUUACAGUGACCCCAUGGAUUUCGGAGGACUUUCUUAAGCAAGAGAUAGAUUUGCCAUUUCCUUCCCCUAUAUUGUAGCCUGUAGCACCUGGCAUUUACUAGCAAUCACCCAUCCAAGUACAAACCAGUGCCGAUAUUGCUUAGCUUCUAAGAUCAUAUAGGAUCAAGUGCUUUGAGGGUAUUUCAGCAGUACCACUUUACUCCUUACUACUUGGUGACUUUUGACCAGCCAUUACCUCUCAGUCCAACCUGCCACUGAGAUAAAAAUGUAUACCACUUUGAGCAGCUUGGAAUAAAUGUAUUAUAUAAAUGUAUUAUACUGCCCCUGGUGGCACAGUUGGGACCCCUGAUGGCACAGUGUGUUAAAGUGCUGAGCUGCUGAACUUGCAGACCAAAUGGUCCCAGGUUCAAACCCCGGGAGCGGAAUGAGCGCCUGCUGUUAGCCCCAGCUCCUGCCAACCUAGCAGUUCAAAAACAUGCCAAUGUGAGUAGAUCAAUAGGUAAGGGCGGGAAGGUAAGGGCGCUCCAUGCAGUCAUGCCGGCCACAUGACCUUGGAGGUGUCUACAGACAACGCCGGCUCUUCGGCUUAGAAAUGGAGAUGAGCACCAACCCCCAGAGUCGGUCACGACUGGACUUAACGUCAGGGGAAAACCUUUAACUUUACCCUAAGAGUUUAUUUUAUACUUCUGAGUGCUUAAAAGUGAUUUUCAUGUACAUUAAGGUUCACACAAGUAUACACAUCCCUAGAUUUCUUCAUACUUGAUGGCUGAGAAUGUUUGCUUGGAUCUUGAAAUGUUGCUCUUUGUAAAGGAAUUUCUCAAAAACAGCAGGCAAAACGAGGUAAAUUUGUAUCUCUGAACCCAUCUAGUCGUGUCUGACUCUGGGGGCUGGUGCUAAUUUCCAUUUCUAAGCCGAAGAGCCGGCGUUGUCCGUAGAUACCUUCAAGGUCACGUGGCUGGCAUGACUGCACGGAGUGCCGUUACUUUCCCGCUGGAGCAGUACCUUUUGAUCUACUCGCAUUUGCAUGUUUUCGACUGCUAGGUUGGCAAGCUGGGGCUAACUGUGGGAGCUCACCCUGCUUGAACCUUUUGGUCAGCAAGUUCAGCAGCUCAGCAGUUUAAUCCACUGUGCCAUCAGGGGCUUCUGAACCUAUCUACAUGGAUUUGAUGCUGUUUAGAACCAAUAUUGAAGAAAGUGGUUUUGCUAUGCAGAUUAUUGCAUCGAAAAUCCUGGACCCAGUUUGAGGCCUAGAUGGGGAUUAAACAAACUGGUGUAUGGCUUCCUUUUGCACACUUUUCUGGGAGUUUGUGUUCUGGCCAUCUCAGUUUGAAUCAUCUGCACAGCAAAACUACUUUCUCCAAUACCAGUUAGAAACUGCAUUGAAUGGUCCAUGUAGCUGGGGUUUGAGUGCCUUAUCACACAAUGCUUUAAAGCAGGGUGUCCCACUUUCCUAUUGUGUGGUUGCCUCCUGCUGAAUUCUGGGUCUUGUAGUUUAGGGAAACUGAGGACCCCUCUGGCUGAGAAUUUCAAAGGCCUGCCGUAAACUGCAUUUCCCAUAAUUCUGCAGGAGGCAGUCACAAGAAACGAAAGUGGGAGCGCUUGCUUUAAAAUAUUAAUAUGAUAGUGUCCUGAGUCAUGGCAGUUAAAGUGGUAUCAAGCUGCAUUAAUUCUUCAGUGCAGAUACACCACUGAACAGGUUAAAAUGGGUCCCUCCUUGUAGUCAUUCCACUUUUUUAUUUUGACAGGCUUUUAGAAAUGGGAACAAGAAAGUUACUGCACUGGUUUUAUUGUUUUAACAGUGCUGUUCUUUUCAACUCUUUUUAAAUUUUCAACUGUUUGAAAUGAUUUCUAAACAUUGUUGCUAGUUUAAUUCCAUUUUAAUGUUGAUGUUUUUGUAUAUUUUAACUGCUUUGUAUUUUAAUUUAUAGAAGGCUUUAAGUCCAAGAUUUGGAAAAGAGGCAGGACAUAAAUUAUGAUGAUUAUGAUAAUGAUGAUGAUAAUAAUAAUAAAUCCAGUUUUUAUAUACAUGCGUUGUGUGCUCAACCAUCUAUCUCUCACUAUAAAAUACAUUAAAAACCUUCUAUCAUAUCUACAAAUCUGGGUUGCCCUGCUCUACGGCCCACCUCUGCUUUGACACUGUUUAUAAACACUACUGUUGCACACUUAGCCCUGCUUAUCCCAACUGAACUUGAUGGAAUGUAUUUCCGAGGCAGCAGCACCAGGAUCAAGCUGUUUUACAUUCUUUGCCCUCACAAACAAGAACAAAUAAUUCCUAUAGUAUUCUCCCUGCUGCAGAAGAAUACAAGAUUUUCUGUGUGGUUGUUGGUCAUUAUUUAGUGUUUGGUCUGUGCGGAAAUAGACAAGGUUUGUCUGCACAGAAAUAUGCAGUUUCUCUGCACAGAGAACAGUGUUUUUUGCUGUCUUCACAGAAAACUUGUUUUCUUCACAAAAUUUUAUUUUCUAAGCAAAACAAUAAACAAAAACAUGUCUGUCUGCACAGAUAACUACGUUACCUAUGUGUAAAGACUCUCACAGCUACAUCUAUUCUUCCCAAGCAGCUUUCUUGGCUGGAAAAUGACAAAUAAUGCUUAUACCUAUAGUCUAUUGUUUACUAGAAAUUAUAAUAUGAUGCAUCAAAAAUCAUCCUGUAUUGCUAAUUUGCUUGGGCAAGCAUUCUAGUGAUCCAAAGCAAAAGUACUUCCUUUGUUACAGAAAUCCAGAUUGUACAAGACAUACUUGAAGAAGCCUAUGCGCCAAGCACUUGUUUUCGACAAAGCAGCUGUUGGUUAACAUUUGGUAUUGGACCAUAAAUCACAUCGCUCACAUAACGGAUUAGGCUGCAUUUUCCCUUGAAUAUUGUAUUACUUUGGCUAUAGUAAGUUAUGCAUUUGUUUUCAUCUAGGGCACAACCUGAGAACGCUUGUGCAAACAGGUGUUCCUGUUCUUUGGUAAACUCGUUUCCUUGGUUAACAGAAGUUCUGCAAUUAUGGGUCCAUUUAUUUGGAGAUCCAAUACAACAAUCGGGGAUAACUGGAUAAUACCUAUCCAAAUCAUGGCUGUUUUUCAGGAUAUUUGAAAGAGAGUUAGUCAAAAGCCAAGCAGAGAAAAAAAAACACCCUGUUAAAUCCAUUUGUACAUUGAUUUAACAGAGAAGUAUUUCAUUCAUUUUUCUUUCUUUCCUGGAUGUCUUGAAAUAAUCCUUUUUCUGUCUCCAUCCUCCCACUUAGACAUUGUUCACAGCCUUACUUAUUUAUGAAGUCUGAAGGUUAGUUCCUACCUGCUGAGAGUAAUUAGCCCUGUUCUUUGUGUUCUAUGCAAUCCUGUCUGAUUAAAUGUACACAUUUGUUUUA